ACGGCAGGCGGGAAGUGCUCUAGCAGGGGAGUCUGACCUUGUGAGGGAAUACCUGUGUCCCCCCUUUUUUCCCCUUUUUACCCAAUAAAACCCUGCCUUACUCACCCUUUAAAUCAUCUGCGAGCCUGAAUUUUCAUGGCCGUGGGACGGACAAGAACUUUAUCUUCAGCUGAACUAAGAAAAAGUCCUGCAACAUUUUUGGCGCGCAAUGUGGGGGCACCAGAAGCGGGCACCGUUGAGCUGUUGCAACUGUUCUGCUGGUGGAAAUGUAAAUCAGUCCAUGUUACUCACCUCGGAGAAGCAGAAGUACGAUUUACUAUUGUUGCUUGCUUACUUACUCUUAUCAAUUUCUAUGAGAGAAAGAGACCUCAAGUAAACCUCCAGCAGCCAUCUGGACUUCCAUGAAAACAGAACAAUCAGUGAGAUGCAGAGCUUGGAGGAGACAGUUUCCAUAGACUGAAGCACGUGCUGAAGCAAAGUUCACACUUGCAGGAUUAGAAGAGGUUGACCGAAAGAAGGAAGGACAUGGACAGCUAUGUUGUUGUGGAGUCCUGUUUUAUAGUCAUAACCUUGAGUCAAGUGAGUUUGUCUGGACAGACAGAGCUUGUUGCCUUUACUUAUAGGGAAGGCACCGGACACAGACAGCCUCAAGGACAUUUGUUCUAGCCUUUCAGUAUCCUUUCUCUUAAUUAUCUCACCUCAUCCAUGAAGCUGGUAUGUACGAUUUUUCCUUUCUUUCUCAAUCCUUUAAAAAAUUAAAGCUCUAAAUCUCAUUUCCACUUAGAUUUUAAUGUUGCAUUGUAACUUAAGAUAAAACCUUGCUCUGAUGUUAAAAAUACUAAAGUAAGAAGCAAUAUGGCAUAGUGCUUAUGAGCAGGACUACAUAGUUCUUUCUGAAUACAAAUCUCAGAUAAAACACUAUCUCAGUGAUCAACCAGGUUAAGCAACCUUUUUAGUGCCUCAAUUAUUCCAUUUGUAAAAUUGUAAUAAUGAUAGUACUAACCUAUAAGAUUGUGGUGAGGAUUAAGUCAGAUAAUACAAAAGAAGCAUUUAGAGUAUUUCCUGGCAUUAUCUACCAUUUAUUGAAUUUUUAUGGUUAAGAAGAAUAAGGAAAAGCAGAAGAAAAGGAAAAGAGAAAAAAUACAUAAGAAGAAGGAAGAGUGGUAAGCUCUAGUAAAUUACAACAAACGGUAACGUAGAAAACAUUUGUUAGCCCUUAAUAUAGGCCAGGCACUGUGUUCAAUGCUUAAACCUCAUUACUGUUCUUUGAAGUGGAUAACAUUAUUCCUUCCAUUUUAAAGAAAGGAAUACUAAAGACAACUUUGUCAAUAUUAUUCAUGUAAUAAAUGACAGAAUUUGACCAAGACAAUAGAGAAUGAACUCUUAAUCACUAUAUUGUUUUAUUUUUUGAAAAUAGAUUUUAAGUUCUUAUUAAAUGUUAAUGACUCACAUCAAAAUAAAGCCAAUCAAAA
This 1472-nucleotide long non-coding RNA is filed under the name Homo sapiens (human). RNAcentral describes it as "MIR924 host gene". The record is from RNAcentral. Lineage: Eukaryota; Metazoa; Chordata; Mammalia; Primates; Hominidae.